UACGUAGGGUGCGAGCGUUAAUCGGAAUUACUGGGCGUAAAGCGUGCGCAGGCGGUUUUGUAAGCCAGAUGUGAAAUCCCCGGGCUUAACCUGGGAAUGGCAUUUGGGACUGCAAGGCUGGAGUGCGGCAGAGGAGACUGGAACUCCUGGUGUAGCAGUGAAAUGCGUAGAUAUCAGGAGGAAUACCGAUGGCGAAGGCGGGUCUCUGGGCUGACACUGACGCCCAUGCACGAAAGCGUGGGGAGCAAACAGG
This 253-nucleotide ribosomal RNA is filed under the name uncultured bacterium. Its description in RNAcentral is "partial 16S ribosomal RNA". It matches the Rfam family "Bacterial small subunit ribosomal RNA", at positions 524 to 776 of the family's 1533-position model. The record is from RNAcentral.